This 921-nucleotide ribosomal RNA is filed under the name Triticum aestivum (bread wheat). Its description in RNAcentral is "partial small subunit ribosomal RNA". The record is from RNAcentral. Lineage: Eukaryota; Viridiplantae; Streptophyta; Magnoliopsida; Poales; Poaceae.
AUGUUUGCUCGUGCCUCGGGGGCAUCUCAAUUCUGGAAAAACCUUGUUAAACUCAGGUCCUUUUUUCAAGGCCUCGUCAAAUUCGUUGUCCGCAAUGGUAGAUCCACCAGAUUCUGGCUCGAUUGGUGGUGCGGACCUUCUUCGCUGGCUAUUGCUUUCCCUGUUCUUUUUUCUUACCCUGAGAUCUCUAUUUUUGUGCUCGUGUCGAAUAAUUGGGAUCUGCGUCUGCGUUGCUCUCUCGCUCCUGUAGAGUUGGAAGACUGGCAGCGUCUUGUUGCUCUCUUCCCUUCGCUCUCGGAGGAGGAAGACACGGUCGUUUGGCCCCAUUCCCCUUCUGGUCGGUUCUCGGUUAAAUCCUUAUAUGGCAAACUCAUUGCUGGGUCCAUCACUUCCAAAUUCAAAUGGACCUGGAGGGCUCGUAUUCCUCCUAAGGUCAAGGUUUUCCUCUGGCAAGCCUCUCGUGGGCGUCUGCCGAUGGGUGACCAAAUUUGCAAGCGCAAUGGCCCGGGAUCUGAUAGAUGUGCUUUAUGUGGGUUGAGAGAAGACUUGUCACAUAUUUUCUUCAACUGUGUGUUGGCUAAGCUGUUCUGGUGCUGUAUCAGAUCAUGGAUGCAUGUCUCCUGGGCUCCGACCUCCUUUUCUGACCUGCGCAUCUUGGCCAAUUCUUUGGUUGGGGCCCAGAGGAGAUUGUUUUGGGUGGGCUUCGCAGCCAUGUGCUGGUCUCUUUGGACGAUAAGGAAUAAAUUUACUAUCGAACAUGUUUUCCCUGCUAAGCCUGCUGAUUGCUUAUUUAAGACUUGUAUAUUCCUGCAGCAAUGGAGAUUAUUGACUAAGGAGGAGGAUAGGGACGCCCUUGACGCCACGUUGUCCAAGAUCCAAAAUUCUGCCAUCUCCAUCUCCCCAGUUCAAGCAGGCACUUAG